UGAGAUCCCUUUGAAGGGGCGUACUUUGUUAGCGUCGACAAUUUUUUGUAUAUUAGAUACAUCAUUAUCAAUACGAAUAAUGUUAAUGCCUUUACAGGUGACUUUUAAACAAUCAAC
Non-coding RNA from Bombyx mori (domestic silkworm), 117 nucleotides. The record is from RefSeq and is marked provisional. NCBI's taxonomy places the organism in Eukaryota, Metazoa, Arthropoda, Insecta, Lepidoptera, Bombycidae.